RNAcentral lists this ribosomal RNA (1428 nucleotides) under uncultured fungus. Its description in RNAcentral is "eukaryotic LSU rRNA". The stretch from base 724 to 1428 matches the Rfam family "Eukaryotic large subunit ribosomal RNA", at positions 1 to 625 of the family's 3401-position model. Lineage: Eukaryota; Fungi. The record is from RNAcentral.
CACGUUAACCCCCCUGUGACUUUUAUCGUGCUCUUGCAGCCCGCGAAAACAGCAAUCCUGGUAAAUCAGUCGCGAAAGUUGUAUUGAUUCAGGACCUCUGCGACGUGAGAAGUUACAGUUGCAAUUGAGCGUUCGAGGCAAGUGACUUGGUUUCCCAAAGCAAUUGGCGUCUGAAAGUGUCGCUGGUUGUCGAAGGAUAACGCUUUACGAUCGCUGUAGGCCGAACACCGGCCGGCGUCUAGGUCACCGGGCUCACGCCCCUUACAAACCCCACAGUUACCUAUAACGCAACCAUCGCAACGCAAGUGCACCGCCAUGGUUGGAAAACGAACAACUGUUAACAAUGGAUAUCUUGGUUCUCGCAACGAUGAAGAACGCAGCGAAAUGCGAUACGUAAUGCGAAUUGCAGAAUUCAGUGAAUCAUCGAAUCUUUGAACGCAAAUUGCGCUCUCGGGUUACCCCCAAGAGCACACCUCUCUGAGUGUCGGUUUAACCUAAUGUCACCAAUUUAUUGGUGUACGACAGCCUGAGGGUAAGGGGUUUCGGCCUUUUUCCCUUUAAAUCUCAGCCUCACGACUGUGUGUGUUCGUGGCAAGUUGCUUUCACUUAACUGUGAAUCCAAUCCACAAACCCUAUGUUGUGUAGCCAAAAGAAACAAAUGAACAAGAUUGUGUAUCUAAGAAGCUUGCUUCGAGGGUCUGCGGUUUUGUGCAUCUAUGAAUUAGACCUCAGAUGAAGUGGGAAGACCCCCUGAAUUUAAGCAUAUUAUUAAGGGGAGGAAAAGAAACUAACAAGGAUUCCCCUAGUAACGGCGAGUGAAGCGGGAAGAGCUCAAAUUUAAAAUCCGCUGGUCUAACAGCCUGUGGAGUUGUAAUCUAGAGAAGCUCUCUCAGUGCCAGCCUGGUUAUAAGUCCCUUGAAACGGGGCAUCAAAGAGGGUGAGAAUCCCGUAUUUGAGCCGGAGCUAAGUACGUACGAGGAGUUUUCUAAGAGUCGCGUUGCUUGGGAGUGCAGCGCUAAAUGGGUGGUAAAGUUCAUCUAAAGCUAAAUACUGGCUAGAGACCGAUAGCGAACAAGUACCGUGAGGGAAAGAUGAAAAGAACUUUGAAAAGAGAGUUAAAAAGUACUUGAAAUUGUUAACAGGGAAGGGGAGUCAACCAGUCAUUUCUAAGUUUCAUUCGCUUUUCUUUCGGGAGGAGUUACUUGAGGCUAAGAAGAGUCAGCAUCAUCUAGGGGCUUCGCAGAAACUGUGUGAGUUGGUGCGUUUCUUCGGAUUCGUUUAACUUAUGCAAUCUACGUUGUCGCUGGGUGAGGAGUGAUAACCCCCCGCCUUCGGGUGUCGGUACUCUGAGGUCUGUUUGCCCUAGCGCGUGAGAGAACAAAGUUCUGUCUGUGCGAAAGGUGAAUACUGCUUUAGAUGUGCCAGAUG